RNAcentral lists this transfer RNA (74 nucleotides) under Pteropus alecto (black flying fox). It matches the Rfam family "tRNA". From Rfam's summary of the family: Transfer RNA (tRNA) molecules are approximately 80 nucleotides in length. Their secondary structure includes four short double-helical elements and three loops (D, anti-codon, and T loops). Lineage: Eukaryota; Metazoa; Chordata; Mammalia; Chiroptera; Pteropodidae. The record is from Rfam by way of RNAcentral.
GGCUCCAUAGUAUAGUGGUUAGCAUGUCUGCUUUACAUGCAGAAGGUCCUGGGUUACGGCCCCAAGUGGAGUCA